UACGGGAGGCAGCAGUGGGGAAUUUUGGCCAAUGGGCGCAAGCCUGAUCCAGCAAUGCCGCGUGCAGGAUGAAGGCCUUCGGGUUGUAAACUGCUUUUGUACGGAACGAAACGGCGAGCUCUAAUACAGUUUGCUAAUGACGGUACCGUACGAAUAAGCACCGGCUAACUACGUGCCAGCAGCCGCGGUAAUACGUAGGGUGCGAGCG
RNAcentral lists this ribosomal RNA (208 nucleotides) under uncultured Rhodoferax sp. Its description in RNAcentral is "partial 16S ribosomal RNA". It matches the Rfam family "Bacterial small subunit ribosomal RNA", at positions 340 to 540 of the family's 1533-position model. Lineage: Bacteria; Pseudomonadati; Pseudomonadota; Betaproteobacteria; Burkholderiales; Comamonadaceae. The record is from RNAcentral.